This 468-nucleotide ribosomal RNA is filed under the name uncultured bacterium. RNAcentral's name for it is "partial 16S ribosomal RNA". It matches the Rfam family "Bacterial small subunit ribosomal RNA", at positions 28 to 507 of the family's 1533-position model. The record is from RNAcentral.
GACGAACGCUGGCGGCGUGCUUAACACAUGCAGGUCGAACGGAAAGGCCCUGCUUUUGUGGGGUGCUCGAGUGGCGAACGGGUGAGUAACACGUGAGUAACCUGCCCUUGACUUUGGGAUAACUUCAGGAAACUGGGGCUAAUACCGGAUAGGAGCUCCUGCUGCAUUGUGGGGGUUGGAACGUUUCGGCGGUUGGGGUUGGACUCGCGGCUUAUCAGCUUGUUGGUGGGGUAGUGGCUUACCAAGGCUUUGACGGGUAGCCGGCCUGAGAGGGUGACCGGCCACAUUGGGACUGAGAGACGGCCCAGACUGCUAUGGGAGGCAGCGGUGGGGAAUAUUGCACAGUGGGAGGACGCCGGAUGCAGCGACGCCGCGUGCGGGAUGACGGCCUUCGGGUUGUAAACCGCUUUCGCCUGAGACGAAGCGUGAGUGACGGUAAUGAGUAAAGAAGCACCGGCUAACUACGUG